UGAGUGAAGAAGGCCUUCGGGUUGUAAAGCUCUUUUGUCAGGGAAGAAACGGUGAGGGCUAAUAUCCUUCGCUAAUGACGGUACCUGAAGAAUAAGCACCGGCUAACUACGUGCCAGCAGCCGCGGUAAUACNUANGGUGCAAGCGUUAAUCGGAAUUACUGGGCGUAAAGCGUGCGCAGGCGGUUUUGUAAGUCUGACGUGAAAUCCCCGGGCUCAACCUGGGAAUUGCGUUGGAGACUGCAAGGCUAGAAUCUGGCANAGGGGGGUAGAAUUCCACGUGUAGCAGUGAAAUGCGUANAGAUGUGGAGGAACACCGAUGGCGAAGGCAGCCCCCUGGGUCAAGAUUGACGCUCAUGCACNAAAGCGUGGGGAGCAAACAGGAUUANAUACCCUGGUAGUCCACGCCCUAAACGAUGUCUACUANUUGUCGGGUUUUAAUUAACUUGGUAACNCANCUAACGCGUGAAGUANACCGCCUGGGGAGUACGGUCGCAAGAUUAAAACUC
This 507-nucleotide ribosomal RNA is filed under the name uncultured bacterium. RNAcentral describes it as "bacterial SSU rRNA". It matches the Rfam family "Bacterial small subunit ribosomal RNA", at positions 402 to 902 of the family's 1533-position model. The record is from RNAcentral.